UACGUAUGGAGCAAGCGUUAUCCGGAUUUACUGGGUGUAAAGGGAGCGCAGGCGGCUUUGCAAGUCUGAUGUGAAAGGCCGGGGCUCAACCCCGGGACUGCAUUGGAAACUGUAAAGCUAGAGUGCCGGAGAGGUAUGCGGAAUUCCUAGUGUAGCGGUGAAAUGCGUAGAUAUUAGGAGGAACACCAGUGGCGAAGGCGGCUUACUGGACGGCAACUGACGCUGAGGCUCGAAAGCGUGGGGAGCAAACAGG
This 253-nucleotide ribosomal RNA is filed under the name uncultured bacterium. RNAcentral describes it as "partial 16S ribosomal RNA". It matches the Rfam family "Bacterial small subunit ribosomal RNA", at positions 524 to 776 of the family's 1533-position model. The record is from RNAcentral.